This 679-nucleotide ribosomal RNA is filed under the name uncultured Bacteroidales bacterium. Its description in RNAcentral is "bacterial SSU rRNA". It matches the Rfam family "Bacterial small subunit ribosomal RNA", at positions 69 to 742 of the family's 1533-position model. The record is from RNAcentral. Lineage: Bacteria; Pseudomonadati; Bacteroidota; Bacteroidia; Bacteroidales.
GUUUGGUUUGCUUGCAAACCAAAGCUGGCGACCGGCGCACGGGUGAGUAACACGUAUCCAACCUGCCUCAUACUCGGGGAUAGCCUUUCGAAAGAAAGAUUAAUAUCCGAUAGCAUAUAUUUCCCGCAUGGGUUUUAUAUUAAAGAAAUUCGGUAUGAGAUGGGGAUGCGUUCCAUUAGUUUGUUGGCGGGGUAACGGCCCACCAAGACUACGAUGGAUAGGGGUUCUGAGAGGAAGGUCCCCCACAUUGGAACUGAGACACGGUCCAAACUCCUACGGGAGGCAGCAGUGAGGAAUAUUGGUCAAUGGACGCGAGUCUGAACCAGCCAAGUAGCGUGAAGGAUGACUGCCCUAUGGGUUGUAAACUUCUUUUAUAUGGGAAUAAAGUGGUCCACGUGUGGAUUUUUGUAUGUACCAUAUGAAUAAGGAUCGGCUAACUCCGUGCCAGCAGCCGCGGUAAUACGGAGGAUCCGAGCGUUAUCCGGAUUUAUUGGGUUUAAAGGGAGCGUAGGCGGAUUGUUAAGUCAGUUGUGAAAGUUUGCGGCUCAACCGUAAAAUUGCAGUUGAUACUGGCAGUCUUGAGUGCAGUAGAGGUGGGCGGAAUUCGUGGUGUAGCGGUGAAAUGCUUAGAUAUCACGAAGAACUCCGAUUGCGAAGGCAGCUCACUGGAGUGUAACUG